RNAcentral lists this ribosomal RNA (238 nucleotides) under uncultured bacterium. Its description in RNAcentral is "partial 16S ribosomal RNA". It matches the Rfam family "Bacterial small subunit ribosomal RNA", at positions 118 to 348 of the family's 1533-position model. The record is from RNAcentral.
UGAGGAACAUGACCUUCGGCGGGGGAUAGCCAGCCCAACGGCCGGGUAAUACCGCGUACGACCACAUGGGGACAUCCCUGAGUGGUGAAAGCAGCAAUGCGCCGAUGGAGUGCCUCGCGGCCUAUCAGCUAGUUGGUGGGGUAACGCUCACCAAGGCGACGACGGGUANCUGGUCUGAGAGGACGGCCAGCCACACGUGGGACUGACGACGACCGGGCCCAAGACCUCCGUAGGGACG